RNAcentral lists this long non-coding RNA (252 nucleotides) under Canis lupus familiaris (dog). Its description in RNAcentral is "lncRNA (ENSCAFG00000057705.1, ENSCAFG00805020344.1, ENSCAFG00845014947.1)". Lineage: Eukaryota; Metazoa; Chordata; Mammalia; Carnivora; Canidae. The record is from RNAcentral.
AGGGACUGUUCUUACCUGGGACUUUGAAAAGCAUUCAGCCAAUCGGGUCCACAGGCAGCAGAACCCGUUCCCAAUUGGCUCCUCCCCAGACAGGAAGUCCCGCCCUCCCCCGGAAACGAUGGAGGCUGGACUCGGAGGAAGGCCGGAGCGGGUUUGAGAAUACAAAAAUCAACAAAAUUGGAACUGUGUCUCAUCAUAGCUUACAGCUUCAUUGAUUCAGUAUCUGCUACUGUUAUCUCUUCAGCAACUUAG